AUGUUAUAUUCAAAAAGACUUCUGAAAUGUUCUGAAGAUAUUGUACAGCCAAUAUCUAAAAUCUUCAAAUGUAACUCAGAAGUACUAACAAACAAAAGCAUGUUCUUCCAACAUUUAGGCGUCCCCAUUUUAAUUGACAAAGAGUUGCAAGGGUGUAGAAGUCAGCAGAAGCAAGACAGAGAACAUCUGCUUCAUACCGACCAUACAUCACAAGAAACUGAAUGGCAAGAUGAGUACACCUAUAAAUCAAAUUGGAAGUUGAGUUCCAGAGAAAAACUCUCUAGAGCCUCAUAUGAAUCUUGCACAGCAAUGACUCGACACGCUCCCACAGAACAAAAGGGAGGCAAUCUUAAGGGCGGUGCUUACAAAAGGUUGAUAGGAUCAAAAAUGAAACUCAAUAGGGAAGACAGCAUCAUGAUCAGAAGAGGAGGUUCAUAA
RNAcentral lists this ribosomal RNA (438 nucleotides) under Triticum aestivum (bread wheat). Its description in RNAcentral is "partial small subunit ribosomal RNA". Lineage: Eukaryota; Viridiplantae; Streptophyta; Magnoliopsida; Poales; Poaceae. The record is from RNAcentral.